RNAcentral lists this ribosomal RNA (429 nucleotides) under Gemmatimonadota bacterium. RNAcentral's name for it is "Gemmatimonadetes bacterium partial 16S ribosomal RNA". It matches the Rfam family "Bacterial small subunit ribosomal RNA", at positions 355 to 776 of the family's 1533-position model. Lineage: Bacteria; Pseudomonadati; Gemmatimonadota. The record is from RNAcentral.
UAGGGAAUCUUCGGCAAUGGACGAAAGUCUGACCGAGCAACGCCGCGUGAGUGAAGAAGGUUUUCGGAUCGUAAAACUCUGUUGUUAGAGAAGAACAAGGACGUUAGUAACUGAACGUCCCCUGACGGUAUCUAACCAGAAAGCCACGGCUAACUACGUGCCAGCAGCCGCGGUAAUACGUAGGUGGCAAGCGUUGUCCGGAUUUAUUGGGCGUAAAGCGAGCGCAGGCGGUUUCUUAAGUCUGAUGUGAAAGCCCCCGGCACAACCGGGGAGGGUCAUUGGAAACUGGGAGACUUGAGUGCAGAAGAGGAGAGUGGAAUUCCAUGUGUAGCGGUGAACUGCGUAGAUAUAUGGAGGAACACCAGUGGCGAAGGCGGCUCUCUGGUCUGUAACUGACGCUGAGGCUCGAAAGCGUGGGGAGCAAACAGG